GAUGAACGCUGGCGGCGUGCCUAAUACAUGCAAGUCGAGCGAACAGAUGAGGAGCUUGCUCCUCUGACGUUAGCGGCGGACGGGUGAGUAACACGUGGAUAACCUACCUAUAAGACUGGGAUAACUUCGGGAAACCGGAGCUAAUACCGGAUAAUAUAUUGAACCGCAUGGUUCAAUAGUGAAAGACGGUUUUGCUGUCACUUAUAGCUGGAUCCGCGCCGCAUUAGCUAGUUGGUAAGGUAACGGCUUACCAAGGCAACGAUGCGUAGCCGACCUGAGAGGGUGAUCGGCCACACGGGAACUGAGACACGGUCCAGACGCCUAAGGGAGGCAGCAGUAGGGAAUCUUCCGCAAUGGGCGAAAGCCUGACGGAGCAACGCCGCGUGAGUGAUGAAGGUCUUCGGAUCGUAAAACUCUGUUAUUAGGGAAGAACAAAUGUGUAAGUAACUAUGCACGUCUUGACGGUACCUAAUCAGAAAGCCACGGCUAACUACGUG
RNAcentral lists this ribosomal RNA (497 nucleotides) under uncultured bacterium. RNAcentral's name for it is "partial 16S ribosomal RNA". It matches the Rfam family "Bacterial small subunit ribosomal RNA", at positions 28 to 507 of the family's 1533-position model. The record is from RNAcentral.